This 868-nucleotide ribosomal RNA is filed under the name uncultured Pseudomonadales bacterium. RNAcentral describes it as "bacterial SSU rRNA". It matches the Rfam family "Bacterial small subunit ribosomal RNA", at positions 29 to 896 of the family's 1533-position model. The record is from RNAcentral. Lineage: Bacteria; Pseudomonadati; Pseudomonadota; Gammaproteobacteria; Pseudomonadales.
UUGAGCGCUGGCGGCAGGCCUAACACAUGCAAGUCGAGCGGAUGAAGGGAGCUUGCUCCUGGAUUCAGCGGCGGACGGGUGAGUAAUGCCUAGGAAUCUGCCUGGUAGUGGGGGAUAACGUCCGGAAACGGGCGCUAAUACCGCAUACGUCCUGAGGGAGAAAGUGGGGGAUCUUCGGACCUCACGCUAUCAGAUGAGCCUAGGUCGGAUUAGCUAGUUGGUGGGGUAAAGGCCUACCAAGGCGACGAUCCGUAACUGGUCUGAGAGGAUGAUCAGUCACACUGGAACUGAGACACGGUCCAGACUCCUACGGGAGGCAGCAGUGGGGAAUAUUGGACAAUGGGCGAAAGCCUGAUCCAGCCAUGCCGCGUGUGUGAAGAAGGUCUUCGGAUUGUAAAGCACUUUAAGUUGGGAGGAAGGGCAGUAAGUUAAUACCUUGCUGUUUUGACGUUACCAACAGAAUAAGCACCGGCUAACUUCGUGCCAGCAGCCGCGGUAAUACGAAGGGUGCAAGCGUUAAUCGGAAUUACUGGGCGUAAAGCGCGCGUAGGUGGUUCAGCAAGUUGGAUGUGAAAUCCCCGGGCUCAACCUGGGAACUGCAUCCAAAACUACUGAGCUAGAGUACGGUAGAGGGUGGUGGAAUUUCCUGUGUAGCGGUGAAAUGCGUAGAUAUAGGAAGGAACACCAGUGGCGAAGGCGACCACCUGGACUGAUACUGACACUGAGGUGCGAAAGCGUGGGGAGCAAACAGGAUUAGAUACCCUGGUAGUCCACGCCGUAAACGAUGUCGACUAGCCGUUGGGAUCCUUGAGAUCUUAGUGGCGCAGCUAACGCGAUAAGUCGACGCCUGGGAGUACGGCGCAGGUUA